ACGAGUCCUCGUUAGGCGAGGCGUCUAUGCGAACAUACGCCACUGCCCAGAAACGUCGAAAGACGCCAACGGGUUUGAACAGGUACUGCCGGCUUAAGGCUUUACUUAAUGUGGUUGAGGGGUUCCUCUGGUCGUAUAGUGCCAAAGCUCAACUUGGGGGGAUAUCG
This 167-nucleotide small RNA is filed under the name Paenalicyclobacillus ferrooxydans. RNAcentral's name for it is "Alicyclobacillus ferrooxydans Magnesium sequence". It matches the Rfam family "M-box riboswitch aptamer (ykoK leader)". From Rfam's summary of the family: M-box riboswitch, also know as ykoK leader is described as a metaloregulatory RNA that sense divalent metals and function as a genetic control element of genes related to divalent metal transport in bacteria. It was first reported upstream of the B.subtilis ykoK gene and genes with related functions in other bacteria. Phylogenetic analysis of the distribution of M-box RNAs across bacterial genomes revealed that M-box riboswitches are most often employed for the regulation of Mg2+ transporter genes Lineage: Bacteria; Bacillati; Bacillota; Bacilli; Caryophanales; Alicyclobacillaceae. The record is from Rfam by way of RNAcentral.